GCAUUGGUGGUUCAGGGGUAGAAUUCUCUCCUUCCACCUGGAAAGUCUGGGUUCAAUUCCCGGUCAAUGGA
Molecule: transfer RNA, 71 nt
Filed under: Loxodonta africana (African savanna elephant)
Lineage: Eukaryota; Metazoa; Chordata; Mammalia; Proboscidea; Elephantidae
Rfam family: tRNA
About the family: Transfer RNA (tRNA) molecules are approximately 80 nucleotides in length. Their secondary structure includes four short double-helical elements and three loops (D, anti-codon, and T loops).
Source: Rfam by way of RNAcentral